CAGCGCCACAAGUGGCAGUCAGCAUUACUGGGCCUAAAGCGUCCGUAGCCGGUUUGGAAAAUCCUUUGUGAAAUCGUCGAGCUUAACUCGGCGGCGUGCAGGGGACACUACCAGACUUGGGACCGGUGAGGAGUCAGAGGAAUUAGAGGGGGAGCGGUAAAAUGCAAUAAUCCUUCUAAGACCACCUGUGGCGAAGGCGUCUGACCAGAACGGAUCCGACGGUGAGGGACGAAAGCUAGGGGAGCGAACCGGAUUAGAUACCCGCGUAGUCC
This 272-nucleotide ribosomal RNA is filed under the name uncultured archaeon. RNAcentral's name for it is "partial 16S ribosomal RNA". It matches the Rfam family "Archaeal small subunit ribosomal RNA", at positions 477 to 747 of the family's 1478-position model. The record is from RNAcentral.